Molecule: long non-coding RNA, 738 nt
Filed under: Homo sapiens (human)
Lineage: Eukaryota; Metazoa; Chordata; Mammalia; Primates; Hominidae
Description: HSALNT0356083
Source: RNAcentral
GCAUGGCUGCUGGGCAGCCAGGUCAACCGGACGGCAAGGCAGGGGUUGGCCGGGGAAGCACUGCGCCGCCCCUGCAUGCCCUGCAUCCUCGGGUCCUGGGAGGGCUGCUCAGUAACUGGAAGGAAAAUGAAACUGAAAAAGAGCAAGGGUCCCGUAGGAUUGAACACAGUUGGUGAAACUUGGGCCGUCUGCCUCAAGUCCCCGCUUGGCAAAACCACUCCCUCCUGGUGGACGCCCUCACCAUGAAGUUCCCAGGUGAUGUUGCCGCUGCUUGCUGGAACCACACUUUGAGAACCACUGAUCUUCGCAUCCGUUCCCUCCUCACCAGGCCCCACAGGCGCUGUGGUCCAGCCCAUCUGGGGUCAUUUCUUGCUGAGAUUAUGAUCCUGUUAGCCUUGUAAUUUAUCUGACCUCCUUAAAACAUUAUUGUUAUUUGAGACAGUGUCCCGCUGUCACCCAGGCUGGAGUACAGUGAGCUGUGAGGUGACCACGGCUCACAGCCUCAACCUUGGGCUCCAGCAGUCCUCCUGCCUUGGCUGGAUUCAGUGCUGGGGUUACAGGUGUGAGCCACUGCUCCCGGCCAAAGUCUCAUUUUUGAUGCCUCAGUUCCCACCCAAGACAUCACGUCUCAUACUCUGCUUCCUGUGUCUUGUGAACAGUGACAGUGCUGUAGGAAAGAGUAAGCUGGAAAAAGAGAAGGUUCAGAACGACAGUGCUGACGCAGACAUCACACAGCGG